This 549-nucleotide ribosomal RNA is filed under the name uncultured bacterium. Its description in RNAcentral is "bacterial SSU rRNA". It matches the Rfam family "Bacterial small subunit ribosomal RNA", at positions 355 to 896 of the family's 1533-position model. The record is from RNAcentral.
UGGGGAAUAUUGGACAAUGGGCGAAAGCCUGAUCCAGCCAUGCCGCGUGUGUGAAGAAGGCCUUAUGGUUGUAAAGCACUUUAAGCAGUGAAGAAUACAUCAUGGCUAAUAUCCGUGAUGAAUGACAUUAGCUGCAGAAUAAGCACCGGCUAACUCUGUGCCAGCAGCCGCGGUAAUACAGAGGGUGCGAGCGUUAAUCGGAAUUACUGGGCGUAAAGCGAGCGUAGGUGGUUUAUUAAGUCAGAUGUGAAAUCCCUGGGCUUAACCUAGGAACUGCAUCUGAUACUGACAAACUAGAGUAGGUGAGAGGAAAGUAGAAUUCCAGGUGUAGCGGUGAAAUGCGUAGAGAUCUGGAGGAAUACCGAUGGCGAAGGCAGCUUUCUGGCAUCAUACUGACACUGAGGUUCGAAAGCGUGGGUAGCAAACAGGAUUAGAUACCCUGGUAGUCCACGCCGUAAACGAUGUCUACCAGUCGUUGGGUCUUUUAAAGACUUAGUGACGCAGUUAACGCGAUAAGUAGACCGCCUGGGGAGUACGGCCGCAAGGUUA